RNAcentral lists this ribosomal RNA (433 nucleotides) under uncultured microorganism. RNAcentral's name for it is "bacterial SSU rRNA". It matches the Rfam family "Bacterial small subunit ribosomal RNA", at positions 346 to 795 of the family's 1533-position model. The record is from RNAcentral.
UGGCAGCAGCAGGGAAUAUUGCGCAAUGGACGAAAGUCUGACGCAGCGACGCCGCGUGGAGGAAGAAGGCUCUCGGGUCGUAAACUCCUUUUUCUGGGGACGAACAAUGACGGUACCCAGGGAAUAAGUCUCGGCCAACUACGUGCCAGCAGCCGCGGUAAUACGUAGGAGGCAAGCGUUAUCCGGAUUUAUUGGGCGUAAAGAGGGAGUAGGUGGCUCUUCAAGUCGGAUGUAAAAUCUUUCGGCUCAACCGGGAGGGAUCGUCCGAUACUGUUGGGCUGGAGUGCAGCAGAGGGAGCUGGAAUUCCCGGUGUAGUGGUGAAAUGCGUAGAUAUCGGGAGGAACACCAGUGGCGAAGGCGGGCUCCUGGGCUGUAACUGACACUGAUGCCCGAAAGCGUGGGGAGCGAACAGGAUUAGAUACCCCGGUAGUC